MicroRNA precursor from Cebus imitator (Panamanian white-faced capuchin), 83 nucleotides. The record is from Ensembl. Lineage: Eukaryota; Metazoa; Chordata; Mammalia; Primates; Cebidae.
GCUCUUCCUCUCUAAUCCUUUGUCCCUGGGUAAGAGUGCUUUCUGAAUACAAUGCACCCAGGGAAGGAUUCUGCAAGGGGGAG